Molecule: ribosomal RNA, 810 nt
Filed under: Nectria dematiosa
Lineage: Eukaryota; Fungi; Ascomycota; Sordariomycetes; Hypocreales; Nectriaceae
Description: eukaryotic LSU rRNA
Rfam family: Eukaryotic large subunit ribosomal RNA
Source: RNAcentral
AGUGAAGCGGCAACAGCUCAAAUUUGAAAUCUGGCCCUUGUGGUCCGAGUUGUAAUUUGUAGAGGAUGCUUUUGGUGAGGUACCUUCCGAGUUCCCUGGAACGGGACGCCAUAGAGGGUGAGAGCCCCGUCUGGUUGGAUACCGAGCCUCUGUAAAGCUCCUUCGACGAGUCGAGUAGUUUGGGAAUGCUGCUCUAAAUGGGAGGUAUAUGUCUUCUAAAGCUAAAUAUUGGCCAGAGACCGAUAGCGCACAAGUAGAGUGAUCGAAAGAUGAAAAGCACUUUGAAAAGAGGGUUAAAUAGUACGUGAAAUUGUUGAAAGGGAAGCGCUUGUGACCAGACUUGGGCUUGGUUAAUCAUCCAGGGUUCUCCCUGGUGCACUUGGCCAGCCCAGGCCAGCAUCAGUUUGUCGCGGGGGAUAAAGGCGUCGGGAAUGUGGCUCCCCCGGGAGUGUUAUAGCCCUUCGUGUAAUACCCUGCUUUAGACUGAGGUUCGCGCAUCUGCAAGGAUGCUGGCGUAAUGGUCAUCAGCGACCCGUCUUGAAACACGGACCAAGGAGUCGUCUUCGUAUGCGAGUGUUCGGGUGUCAAACCCCUACGCGUAAUGAAAGUGAACGCAGGUGAGAGCUUCGGCGCAUCAUCGACCGAUCCUGAUGUUCUCGGAUGGAUUUGAGUAAGAGCAUACGGGGCCGGACCCGAAAGAAGGUGAACUAUGCCUGUGUAGGGUGAAGCCAGAGGAAACUCUGGUGGAGGCUCGCAGCGGUUCUGACGUGCAAAUCGAUCGUCAAACAUGGGCAUGGGGGCGAAAGACUA